GACGAACGCUGGCGGCGUGCUUAACACAUGCAAGUCGAACGGAAAGGCCCUGCUUUUGUGGGGUGCUCGAGUGGCGAACGGGUGAGUAACACGUGAGUAACCUGCCCUUGACUUUGGGAUAACUUCAGGAAACUGGGGCUAAUACCGGAUAGGAGCUCCUGCUGCAUGGUGGGGGUUGGAAAGUUUCGGCGGUUGGGGAUGGACUCGCGGCUUAUCAGCUUGUCGGUGGGGUAGUGGCUUACCAAGGCUUUGACGGGUAGCAGGCCUGAGAGGGUGACCGGCCACAUUGGGACUGAGAUACGGCCCAGACUCCUACGGGAGGCAGCAGUGGGGAAUAUUGCACAAUGGGCGGAAGCCUGAUGCAGCAACGCCGCGUGCGGGAUGACGGCCUUCGGGUUGUAAACCGCUUUCGCCUGUGACGAAGCGUGAGUGACGGUAAUGGGUAAAGAAGCACCGGCUAACUACGUG
RNAcentral lists this ribosomal RNA (468 nucleotides) under uncultured bacterium. RNAcentral's name for it is "partial 16S ribosomal RNA". It matches the Rfam family "Bacterial small subunit ribosomal RNA", at positions 28 to 507 of the family's 1533-position model. The record is from RNAcentral.